UGUUAACAGCUGCUUGAAGUGUGAACUAACUAAUUAAUUACUUUCUAGGUUGCGUUGCUGUAGUAUUGAUACUUCAACUAUAAAAUGUUGCAUGAAAUAGUAUAAGUUACUGCACAUUUAUUGUGUCAUAAACCAAAUGACGUGUAACUGUAAACUGUUAAAUAUGAAGAACAACGACUUAACGUGGAAUUGACGAUAUGGAAAUUAUAUUAAUUGUAAACGAUUUAACAAAAUAUACAGUAUAAGAGAAAAAGACUUAGAAAUUCAAUAGAUAAUUUCGUCAAAAAAAAAAAAUCAAUAGAUAAC
Molecule: long non-coding RNA, 306 nt
Filed under: Brassica rapa (field mustard)
Lineage: Eukaryota; Viridiplantae; Streptophyta; Magnoliopsida; Brassicales; Brassicaceae
Description: long non-coding RNA (BRAP_LNC001083)
Source: RNAcentral